AAUUAAUGAACUUGUAUAAGUAAUUGUUUUGAAAACUUUAAAAAGAAUUAUUAAAUAUUCUAUUAAUUU
RNAcentral lists this transfer RNA (69 nucleotides) under Ecnomus latus. Its description in RNAcentral is "tRNA-Ser". Lineage: Eukaryota; Metazoa; Arthropoda; Insecta; Trichoptera; Ecnomidae. The record is from RNAcentral.